RNAcentral lists this non-coding RNA (24 nucleotides) under Arabidopsis thaliana (thale cress). Lineage: Eukaryota; Viridiplantae; Streptophyta; Magnoliopsida; Brassicales; Brassicaceae. The record is from RNAcentral.
AAGUCCAUCUGAUAAACUUAGGCC